AUAUCAGCUAAAUGUACUAAAAUUGGAAUGAUACAGAGAAGAUAAACAUGGACCUUAGGCAAGGAUGACACACAAAUUCAUCAAGCAUUUUAUAUGUUU
RNAcentral lists this small nuclear RNA (99 nucleotides) under Carlito syrichta (Philippine tarsier). The record is from RNAcentral. Lineage: Eukaryota; Metazoa; Chordata; Mammalia; Primates; Tarsiidae.